Molecule: long non-coding RNA, 206 nt
Filed under: Gossypium raimondii (Peruvian cotton)
Lineage: Eukaryota; Viridiplantae; Streptophyta; Magnoliopsida; Malvales; Malvaceae
Description: long non-coding RNA (GRAI_LNC003824)
Source: RNAcentral
UUAAGUUAAGGAAUAGGCUAUUAGGUUAGAAUUUAGGUUUUAAUUUUAGAUUUAGUUUUAAUUAGAUUUUAUUUUUGUAAAUUUUUUUUCUAAUUUUCAACUUGGAUUUGAUUUGAGUCCAAGACUUUGUUUUUACGUAUUUUUAUAUUUUUCUUUUACUUCCUGCUUAUUUAUAUCGACAUCUCCAUGUUUGUUAAAGGAUUUCG